AGUUUUGUUGUAGCCGUUGUUUUCUGAAAAAUGCGAAUAUUACAAGCUAUAGUGGUGCUACUUCUAAUUGCUGAAUCGCUGCAGAAACCCGCCAGCGUUUGGGACUUUUUUAAGCACUUGCAUUUGCCUGUGAUUGGAAUGACAGUUUAAAAAAGUCUGGAAGACUAUAGGUAUAGGAAGACAGAGGAGACUCGAAUUAUUGUUCAUGAGAAAUGGGUUGACAAAAAAGCCUUUUCAUUGUAAAUUGAAAUAAAAUUAUUUGCGAAAC
Molecule: long non-coding RNA, 268 nt
Organism: Scaptodrosophila lebanonensis
Lineage: Eukaryota; Metazoa; Arthropoda; Insecta; Diptera; Drosophilidae
Exons: 2
Source: RefSeq, a predicted model, not a curated record